Molecule: ribosomal RNA, 406 nt
Filed under: uncultured bacterium
Lineage: Bacteria
Description: partial 16S ribosomal RNA
Rfam family: Bacterial small subunit ribosomal RNA
Source: RNAcentral
AUUGAACGCUGGCGGCAGGCCUAACACAUGCAAGUCGAACGAGUGGCGGACGGGUGAGUAAUGUCUGGGAAACUGCCUGAUGGAGGGGGAUAACUACUGGAAACGGUAGCUAAUAACGCAUACCAUCGGAUGUGCCCAGAUGGGAUUAGCUAGGAGGUGGGGUAAAGGCUCAACAAGGCGACGAUCCCUAGCUGGUAUGCGAGGAUGACCAGCCACACUGGGACUGUGACACGGUCCAGACUCCUACGUGAGGCAGCAUGGGGGAAUAUUGCACAAGGGGCGCAAGCCUGAUGCAGCCAUGCCGCGUGUAUGAAGAAGGCCUUCGGGUGGUAAAGUACUUUCAGCGGGGAGGCGUUACCCGCAGAAGAAGCACCGGCUAACUCCGUGCCAGCAGCCGCGGUAAUAC